CAAAAUAAAAUUUAUAAAUCAUUAAAUUUAUUUCAAAUUUCGUGAGCCAUAUAUUGAACGAACAUCCAAAGAUGCUCCUACAUGUUCCUCCUAGUAAUUACAAAUGACAGAAACGUUCAACAACUUAACCCCAAGUCUUCACUUUAGCACCCACACCCCAAUUUCUCUCUCUCAUAACGUUUAUUAUAUUUGAUUCCGACUUUUUUCUCAGUUUCAUCAAUCACUAGCAACCCACAAUCAUCCAAAAAAAAAAAGGAGCAGAUUGGUGUGACAAGACUUGAAGGAAGGAAGACAUACAACACGCUCGCAUCAAAAUUGCUAAAGUUCCAACAAAUCACACAAAAACAGAAACAAGUUUGAAAGCAAGAAAAUAAAACACAUCUUAUGCGAGGAAAGCCAAUUGAAGAAAAAAGAAGAGAAAAGAUUGAGAAGGGUGAAAAAAGUGGUCCAGGGAAGGAAACAGUGCUGGCAAGUGCUUUUGUGGUCCUGGAGUUCAGUUGAGGAAAGCCUAAUUUAGAGGCAGGUGAAGGGGGGCAAAGGAACAUGAUAUGGUGGGAAGAGGGGGGCCUUGGUUAUGUAAUUAAGUCACACUAUACCAUGGGACAAUACUAAUUAAUUAGGUUCCAAACAUUAUUACCUUAUCCGAUCCUUUAAUUUUAUCAAAUAUCAAUUAUUCCAUCAGCUGAAUUCUAAAUUA
Glycine soja is the source of this 697-nucleotide long non-coding RNA. RefSeq lists it as uncharacterized. The transcript has 2 exons. NCBI's taxonomy places the organism in Eukaryota, Viridiplantae, Streptophyta, Magnoliopsida, Fabales, Fabaceae. The record is from RefSeq and is a predicted model, not a curated record.